Molecule: long non-coding RNA, 1642 nt
Organism: Gasterosteus aculeatus aculeatus (three-spined stickleback)
Lineage: Eukaryota; Metazoa; Chordata; Actinopteri; Perciformes; Gasterosteidae
Source: Ensembl
AUUCACAGCAGUUCCCUGAACUGUUCACGCUUAAUACAUUUUUAUCUCUUCUUAUUCUAGCAAUUAUUAAGACUUGGAAUCAGUUGCAAAGACUGAUGCCGCUGGAUUUGUUCAGCUCACCUCUUUGAAUCAUGUUUUAUGUUAAGGAGGCCAGGACUAUCAAUCAGGCAAAGGUGUUGACAUGUGUGUUCCCCAGAGGUUAUACACAGGGCGCUAAGCUCAUGUCAUUAUCAGCUCUAACUGCAAUAUGAGAACAGCCCUGAGCUUUCAAAUGUGGCACGCUUACGCACACCAGCAUGCACUAAAAGGUAUUGUCUACAAAGCAAGGAGAAGUUCUGAUAACAACAGGCGAAGAGGGAGCGAGACUUCAAUCUCUUCUCAGGUCGACAUUACUCAACUAGAUUAUGAGGAACACGGAAUCAAAAUCAUGCUGCAGCUCCAGUCACCAGUCCUUCAAGCUCCUGAUGUUUGCAGAUGACACCAACUUCAUUGGACGUGGUGCGGAGGUAACAACUUGGAACUCAACGGCGUAAAGACAUCAGCUCCGUCACUAUGAAGUCUCAGCAGAGGUUGUUUUUCCUGAGGCAGCUGAAGAAAUUCAACCUGCCAAAGACGAUGAUGGUGCACUUCUACACGGCCAUCGUUGAGUCCAUCCUCUGCUCCUCCAUCACCGUCUGGUACGCUGCAGCCACAGCCAAGGACAAGGGCAGGCUGCAGCGUGUCAUUGGUUCUGCUGAGAGGGUGAUUGGCUGCAAUCUGCCGUCCCUCCAAGACUCGUUUGCCUCCAAGCCUGUAGCCGACCCGUCUGACUUUUUGAGCCUCUUUCCUUUGACAGAAGGCUGCGGUCCAUCAGGACCAAGAUGGUCCCCAACCCCAACUUACCUAUUCCAGUAAAACGUGCAAUAAAUGACAAACAAUCUGCGCUGGGGAUAUUGCAAGAAGCAAAAUAACAGCUGUUACAACAUAUCGGUAAACAAAAGGAAGUGAUUCAUGGGAGCACAGAUACAUGCACUUCUAAUAAUAGUCACGCCAGGCUUUGUGGGUGCAGUAAGAGAAUGCAUGUCUUAUUUAAUUUGGUGUAUUUUUGACCUACCAUGAUCUGCUGGCAGACACCCAGCAUGUCUGUUUGGCAAGUAAACUGUUUAUGUGGGAUUAGCACAUGAAGUAAAGGUCAUUUGGGGAAAGUGACUCUUGUAAGUGCAUUGCAGGGACAGUAAACACAGCUACUCAUGGGGGCCUUUUCCACAGGGAAACGAUAAGGAGCCCAAGUCAAGACAAUAAAAACCAGACCCUGCAAAAUACUAAUUAGUAUCCUAGAGAAAUUCACUUUUUCUAGUAAAACCAGUGAUCCCUAAUCUCCUAUUAUUUAAAAAUCAGAGAAAAGUAUAACAAAUUGAACAUACUGUACAAACAGCUGCCUCAUCAGGAAUCAGGAGGAAUCAGGAAUCAGGAAUCAGGAAAAUAUUCAUAUAGAAUAUUCUUAUUUUGUGUUUUGUGUCUUGUGUUUGGAGAAUGCAUGCAAUGCAAUUCAAAUGUGGUAAUUGCCCCCAAACUCACAUGCAGUCUAGUCUGCGCAUGAAGAUUAAAUGAACCUGAACCCACCAGCGCAAGGUUCCAUUACAGUGAACCAGCUCAAUCAGGC